UAAAGAUCCGUCGGAUGAGGAUAGGCUCGCGUGACAUUAGCUUGACGGCGGGGUAACGGCCCACCGUGGCGACGAUGUCUAGGGGUUCUGAGAGGAAGGUCCCCCACACUGGAACUGAGACACGGUCCAGACUCCUACGGGAGGCAGCAGUGAGGAAUAUUGGUCAAUGGCCGGAAGGCUGAACCAGCCAUGCCGCGUGAAGGUCAGUGCCCUAUGGGCGUUAAACUUCUUUUGUGCGGGAGCAAUAAGGUCCACGUGUGGACCGACGAGAGUACCGUACGAAUAAGCAUCGGCUAACUCCGUGCCAGCAGCCGCGGUAAUACGGGGGAUGCAAGCGUUAUCCGGAUUUAUUGGGUUUAAAGGGUGCGUAGGCUGUGAGGUAAGUCAGCGGUGAAAUGCCCCCGCUCAACGGGGUGAAGUGCCAUUGAUACUGCCUUGCUGGAAUGCGGAUGCCGUGGGAGGAAUGUGUGGUGUAGCGGUGAAACGCAUAGAUAUCACACAGAACACCGAUUGCGAAGGCAUCUCACGAAUCCGCUAUUGACGCUGAUGCACGAAAGCGUGGGUAUCAAACAGGAUUAGAUACCCUGGUAGUCCACGCUGUAAACGAUGAUGACUAACCGUCGGCGAUACACAGUCG
This 637-nucleotide ribosomal RNA is filed under the name uncultured bacterium. Its description in RNAcentral is "bacterial SSU rRNA". It matches the Rfam family "Bacterial small subunit ribosomal RNA", at positions 202 to 839 of the family's 1533-position model. The record is from RNAcentral.